This 172-nucleotide ribosomal RNA is filed under the name uncultured bacterium. RNAcentral describes it as "partial 16S ribosomal RNA". It matches the Rfam family "Bacterial small subunit ribosomal RNA", at positions 1320 to 1500 of the family's 1533-position model. The record is from RNAcentral.
AUGAAGCUGGAUUCGCUAGUAAUCGCGCAUCAGCCACGGCGCGGUGAAUACGUUCCCGGGCCUUGUACACACCGCCCGUCAAGCCAUGGAANCCGGGAGUGCCUGAAGUGCGUGAGCGCAAGCAGCGCCCUAAGGUAAACCGGUGGCUGGGGCUAAGUCGUAACAAGGUAAC